RNAcentral lists this ribosomal RNA (411 nucleotides) under uncultured bacterium. Its description in RNAcentral is "partial 16S ribosomal RNA". It matches the Rfam family "Bacterial small subunit ribosomal RNA", at positions 355 to 758 of the family's 1533-position model. The record is from RNAcentral.
UGGGGAAUAUUGCACAAUGGGCGCAAGCCUGAUGCAGCCAUGCCGCGUGUGUGGAGAAGGCCUUCGGGUUGUAAAGCACUUUCAGCGAGGAGGAAGGUGGUGAGCUUAAUACGCUCAUCAAUUGACGUUACUCGCAGAAGAAGCACCGGCUAACUCCGUGCCAGCAGCCGCGGUAAUACGGAGGGUGCAAGCGUUAAUCGGAAUUACUGGGCGUAAAGCGCACGCAGGCGGUUUGUUAAGUCAGAUGUGAAAUCCCCGGGCUCAACCUGGGAACUGCAUUUGAAACUGGCAAGCUAGAGUCUCGUAGAGGGGGGUAGAAUUCCAGGUGUAGCGGUGAAAUGCGUAGAGAUCUGGAGGAAUACCGGUGGCGAAGGCGGCCCCCUGGACGAAGACUGACGCUCAGGUGCGAAA